This is a non-coding RNA of Myotis davidii, 75 nucleotides long. The record is from Rfam. NCBI's taxonomy places the organism in Eukaryota, Metazoa, Chordata, Mammalia, Chiroptera, Vespertilionidae.
GGUGGUUCUUGGGUGACGCACCCAGAAUCAGGCUCCCUACUCUCUGGUGCCACAGUGCAUCACCCAAGAACCGCC